GACGAACGCUGGCGGCGUGCUUAACACAUGCAAGUCGAACGGAAAGGCCCCCUUGCGGGGUACUCGAGUGGCGAACGGGUGAGAAACACGCGAGUAACCUACCCUCGACUCUGGGAUAACGUCAGGAAACUGGGGCUAAUACCGGAUAGGAGCUCCUGCUGCAUGGUGGGGGUUGGAAAGCUUCGGCGGUUGGGGAUGGUCUCGCGGCUUAUCAGCUUGUUGGUGGGGUAGUGGCUCACCAAGGCUUUGACGGGUAGCCGGCCUGCGAGGGUGACCGGCCACCUUGGGACUGCGCUGCGGCCCGGACUCCUGCGGGAGGCAGCAGUGGGGAAUAUUGCACCAUGGGCGGAAGCCUGAUGCAGCAGCGCCGCGUGCGGGAUGACGGCCUUCGGGUUGUAUACCGCUUUCGCCUGUGACGAAGCGUGAGUGACGGUAAUGGGUAGAGAAGCACCGGCUAACUACGUG
RNAcentral lists this ribosomal RNA (465 nucleotides) under uncultured bacterium. RNAcentral describes it as "partial 16S ribosomal RNA". It matches the Rfam family "Bacterial small subunit ribosomal RNA", at positions 28 to 507 of the family's 1533-position model. The record is from RNAcentral.